Molecule: ribosomal RNA, 253 nt
Filed under: uncultured bacterium
Lineage: Bacteria
Description: partial 16S ribosomal RNA
Rfam family: Bacterial small subunit ribosomal RNA
Source: RNAcentral
UACGUAGGGAGCAAGCGUUGUCCGGAAUCAUUGGGCGUAAAGAGCGUGUAGGCGGCCAGACAGGUCCGUUGUGAAAACUAGAGGCUUAACCUCUAGACGUCGAUGGAAACCGUCUGGCUAGAGUCCGGAAGAGGAGAAUGGAAUUCCUGGUGUAGCGGUGAAAUGCGCAGAUAUCAGGAAGAACACCCGUGGCUAAGGCGGUUCUCUAGUACGGUACUGACGCUGAGACGCGAAAGCGUGGGGAGCGAACAGG